RNAcentral lists this long non-coding RNA (339 nucleotides) under Equus caballus (horse). RNAcentral describes it as "lncRNA (ENSECAG00000059008.1)". Lineage: Eukaryota; Metazoa; Chordata; Mammalia; Perissodactyla; Equidae. The record is from RNAcentral.
UGAGGAACAUCCACACAGCUGGGGCCAAGGCCUGCGGAGCCUUUUUUGGGCAAAAGGCCAGCAAACUCUUGAGGAACUGAUUCUCAGUCACCGAUAAUGAAAAUCCUUGAGAUGGCUCCAUGAUUCUCCUGGCCAUGCACAGUCGUGAUGUAAUUUGAGCCACACAGAAGCCCUUAAGGUUGUCCCCAAGAGCACUUUCUAACCAACAUCCUACACGCCAAGUUCCAUCUCUGAGUCUGCUUCCCAGGGCCCUCGCUGGAUUACAAAGCCCUGCGGAGCUUCUUGAGGACGGCAACAGCGUCUUAACGACUUCUGCAUCUCCAGCAGCUCUCACUGGGC